This 264-nucleotide ribosomal RNA is filed under the name Triticum aestivum (bread wheat). Its description in RNAcentral is "partial small subunit ribosomal RNA". Lineage: Eukaryota; Viridiplantae; Streptophyta; Magnoliopsida; Poales; Poaceae. The record is from RNAcentral.
AUGCACACAUUGGUGCUCGUAGUGGUCUCGGGGAAGCCGGGGAAGCAAGAGGUCGAGCGGAUCAACGAAAUCGGCGACGACGACCGUGGUGACGAAGACAGGUCGAUGGCGAGGCUCAGAACUCCGCAGUACAGCUCCUUCUACUCAGGUGUUGAGGACGCUGGUGCCCACCUCCUGGUCUUCUCGUUGCGGCUCAUGGUGGACGUCGACCACGACAACGAUGGCGGCGCGAUGACGGUUGCGCCCAGGCAUGGACGAAAUUAA